Molecule: ribosomal RNA, 2476 nt
Filed under: Escherichia coli
Lineage: Bacteria; Pseudomonadati; Pseudomonadota; Gammaproteobacteria; Enterobacterales; Enterobacteriaceae
Description: partial 23S ribosomal RNA
Rfam family: Bacterial large subunit ribosomal RNA
Source: RNAcentral
GCGAUACAGGGUGACAGCCCCGUACACAAAAAUGCACAUAUUGUGAGCUCGAUGAGUAGGGCGGGACACGUGGUAUCCUGUCUGAAUAUGGGGGGACCAUCCUCCAAGGCUAAAUACUCCUGACUGACCGAUAGUGAACCAGUACCGUGAGGGAAAGGCGAAAAGAACCCCGGCGAGGGGAGUGAAAAAGAACCUGAAACCGUGUACGUACAAGCAGUGGGAGCCUCUUUAUGGGGUGACUGCGUACCUUUUGUAUAAUGGGUCAGCGACUUAUAUUCUGUAGCAAGGUUAACCGAAUAGGGGAGCCGAAGGGAAACCGAGUCUUAACUGGGCGUUAAGUUGCAGGGUAUAGACCCGAAACCCGGUGAUCUAGCCAUGGGCAGGUUGAAGGUUGGGUAACACUAACUGGAGGACCGAACCGACUAAUGUUGAAAAAUUAGCGGAUGACUUGUGGCUGGGGGUGAAAGGCCAAUCAAACCGGGAGAUAGCUGGUUCUCCCCGAAAGCUAUUUAGGUAGCGCCUCGUGAAUUCAUCUCCGGGGGUAGAGCACUGUUUCGGCAAGGGGGUCAUCCCGACUUACCAACCCGAUGCAAACUGCGAAUACCGGAGAAUGUUAUCACGGGAGACACACGGCGGGUGCUAACGUCCGUCGUGAAGAGGGAAACAACCCAGACCGCCAGCUAAGGUCCCAAAGUCAUGGUUAAGUGGGAAACGAUGUGGGAAGGCCCAGACAGCCAGGAUGUUGGCUUAGAAGCAGCCAUCAUUUAAAGAAAGCGUAAUAGCUCACUGGUCGAGUCGGCCUGCGCGGAAGAUGUAACGGGGCUAAACCAUGCACCGAAGCUGCGGCAGCGACACUAUGUGUUGUUGGGUAGGGGAGCGUUCUGUAAGCCUGUGAAGGUGGCCUGUGAGGGUUGCUGGAGGUAUCAGAAGUGCGAAUGCUGACAUAAGUAACGAUAAAGCGGGUGAAAAGCCCGCUCGCCGGAAGACCAAGGGUUCCUGUCCAACGUUAAUCGGGGCAGGGUGAGUCGACCCCUAAGGCGAGGCCGAAAGGCGUAGUCGAUGGGAAACAGGUUAAUAUUCCUGUACUUGGUGUUACUGCGAAGGGGGGACGGAGAAGGCUAUGUUGGCCGGGCGACGGUUGUCCCGGUUUAAGCGUGUAGGCUGGUUUUCCAGGCAAAUCCGGAAAACCAAGGCUGAGGCGUGAUGACGAGGCACUACGGUGCUGAAGCGACAAAUGCCCUGCUUCCAGGAAAAGCCUCUAAGCAUCAGGUAACAUCAAAUCGUACCCCAAACCGACACAGGUGGUCAGGUAGAGAAUACCAAGGCGCUUGAGAGAACUCGGGUGAAGGAACUAGGCAAAAUGGUGCCGUAACUUCGGGAGAAGGCACGCUGAUAUGUAGGUGAAGCGACUUGCUCGUGGAGCUGAAAUCAGUCGAAGAUACCAGCUGGCUGCAACUGUUUAUUAAAAACACAGCACUGUGCAAACACGAAAGUGGACGUAUACGGUGUGACGCCUGCCCGGUGCCGGAAGGUUAAUUGAUGGGGUUAGCGGUAACGCGAAGCUCUUGAUCGAAGCCCCGGUAAACGGCGGCCGUAACUAUAACGGUCCUAAGGUAGCGAAAUUCCUUGUCGGGUAAGUUCCGACCUGCACGAAUGGCGUAAUGAUGGCCAGGCUGUCUCCACCCGAGACUCAGUGAAAUUGAACUCGCUGUGAAGAUGCAGUGUACCCGCGGCAAGACGGAAAGACCCCGUGAACCUUUACUAUAGCUUGACACUGAACAUUGAGCCUUGAUGUGUAGGAUAGGUGGGAGGCUUUGAAGUGUGGACGCCAGUCUGCAUGGAGCCGACCUUGAAAUACCACCCUUUAAUGUUUGAUGUUCUAACGUUGGCCCGUAAUCCGGGUUGCGGACAGUGUCUGGUGGGUAGUUUGACUGGGGCGGUCUCCUCCUAAAGAGUAACGGAGGAGCACGAAGGUUGGCUAAUCCUGGUCGGACAUCAGGAGGUUAGUGCAAUGGCAUAAGCCAGCUUGACUGCGAGCGUGACGGCGCGAGCAGGUGCGAAAGCAGGUCAUAGUGAUCCGGUGGUUCUGAAUGGAAGGGCCAUCGCUCAACGGAUAAAAGGUACUCCGGGGAUAACAGGCUGAUACCGCCCAAGAGUUCAUAUCGACGGCGGUGUUUGGCACCUCGAUGUCGGCUCAUCACAUCCUGGGGCUGAAGUAGGUCCCAAGGGUAUGGCUGUUCGCCAUUUAAAGUGGUACGCGAGCUGGGUUUAGAACGUCGUGAGACAGUUCGGUCCCUAUCUGCCGUGGGCGCUGGAGAACUGAGGGGGGCUGCUCCUAGUACGAGAGGACCGGAGUGGACGCAUCACUGGUGUUCGGGUUGUCAUGCCAAUGGCACUGCCCGGUAGCUAAAUGCGGAAGAGAUAAGUGCUGAAAGCAUCUAAGCACGAAACUUGCCCCGAGAUGAGUUCUCCCUGA